GGAGGGUUCGCCUAGUGGCCGAUGGCGCUGGUCUUGAAAACCGGUAGGGCAGCGAUGUCCUCGUGGGUUCGAAUCCCACACCCUCCGCCC
Molecule: transfer RNA, 90 nt
Filed under: Micromonospora viridifaciens
Lineage: Bacteria; Bacillati; Actinomycetota; Actinomycetes; Micromonosporales; Micromonosporaceae
Description: tRNA_Ser_TGA
Rfam family: tRNA
About the family: Transfer RNA (tRNA) molecules are approximately 80 nucleotides in length. Their secondary structure includes four short double-helical elements and three loops (D, anti-codon, and T loops). Further hydrogen bonds mediate the characteristic L-shaped molecular structure. tRNAs have two regions of fundamental functional importance: the anti-codon, which is responsible for specific mRNA codon recognition, and the 3' end, to which the tRNAs corresponding amino acid is attached (by aminoacyl-tRNA synthetases). tRNAs cope with the degeneracy of the genetic code in two manners: having more than one tRNA (with a specific anti-codon) for a particular amino acid; and 'wobble' base-pairing, i.e. permitting non-standard base-pairing at the 3rd anti-codon position.
Source: RNAcentral